CACCCCCCAUACGUCGGCCCCUUUCUCAUUCUUCUUCACCAUUUCAAAUUCUAAACUUAAAUCCCUAAUUCCCCUUUCUCUCCAAACUCCAAAAUCGGGAAUAGAACUUAGGGAAAAACAAAUCCCUAUUUGGAAGUAGCAUAGCAGCUGCAAAUCCUCCGGCUUGGCGUGAAGAGCAGCGGCGGAUUUCUUUCUUUCGAGCUCCCUCCGUCGAGUUUCCUUUACUCCAGUGGCCGCCGUCUCCACUGCCACCGUCUCCGGCGAGGGACGAUCGGUGUCCAGAGAUCUCUCUCUCUCUGAUGCACCGCCUCUGUCGCGACGCCCCGUCGCCGCCGCCUCUGCACCCGACUCGGCGAGUAGCUGCCGCUGCUUGUUAGCGGUGGAGACGCUGGUCGUGCCGUUCGUCGUCGUCGCGCGUUACCGCGGUUCGGCAGAUUUCUCCCCAUCCCUUCCCCGCUGACUAGCUCCGUCGUUAAACGACCUUUCCCAAGCUAAGCUUCUCUUGCAUUUAAUGAUUUGGUUACUCUCUAGUGAAUCAAAGUUGUAAGCUUAAAAGAACAUCUUUGAUUAUUCGAGUCCGGUUGGGGCUUCUGCUAUAUCCUCCUUUCUCAGUUAUGGCCUAGCGUGUUCUCGUUCUAGGUUAGUCAGUGACAUUGCGAGACUACUAUCGUAUGGUGUUGCUAUCGAUUCCACUUGCUCUCCUAUAAUAGUUUCAUGCUUAUGCUUCUGAAACUAUGGAGUUUUUCUAACAUGCUUGUGAUGUCUACAUGAUGCUAUGAUUCUUGGUUGUGGGAAAGAGUUACCUGCUGAGAUUUACAGUUGGGGUGUAACACGGCCUUGAUCUCUGCCUCUUGGUUCCAGCCCUUGGUCUCAGCCUCUCUUACUCGUUAGCUCACCAGAAUUUCAACAAUUGGUUGUGGAGGAGGCAAGGGCUGGGGGUUAUCCUCUUUUAUAGACUAUCGUGUAACUGAAUGCUGCACAAUGUCUGAUGUAUUUGGCUGGAAAGGAAUUAACAGGCUGUGCAGCUUGCUGCUCUCUCUCUCUCUCUGCAGCUUUGCAGAGCAUGUACUCUAAGUCCUUGUUCCUCUCUAACUGAUCUUGGGGCUGGUGUACUCGUGGUUUUAGUGGGGUUGCUGAGUCCACGCUAUUCUCCACACCCUUUAACUGUUUUUGGCUUAUUGUGUGGUCUAAUACUGAACUUAUUUAUGAAUUUUCGUCCCUUGUUGCAGGUGCACUUAGGAGAUGGCAUUUGUGGCUGAUUUCCUUUACCAUGGCAGGUCUAAAUGCAGGUGGUACAAGCUGUCAACUGCAGCCUUGCAGUGUGCAGUUGGUGGAGGGGAAUUUGCUGGCUGACAUUGCCCUUCUCGGCCCAGCUCGGUCUCACCUUUCCGAAAGGUGUUGGCAGCCUCGCGCGGCUAGCCGCGGAGAGAGUGCUCCUUUGACGUCUCUCCCAUUCGAGCAUUUUCUGAAAUCUGGGUCGCGGCGGCCUGAUGGUGAAGAACGCCAUAGUUGCUAGGGCUCAACCAUGUAAUAGUAUAGUUCGACUUACUUCCCAACAUGUAUGAAAAGUUCGAUGUUAGUUGGUGUAUAUUUCUUUCUAGCAUUUGUAAUUCAUUGACUUGAAUUUCUUUAUACUGUAUUUAUACUUCUAUUCAAGAAAUAAAAUAUUCUCUCAUUCUUUAUUCAAAA
This is a long non-coding RNA of Salvia splendens (bonfire salvia), 1689 nucleotides long. RefSeq lists it as uncharacterized. The record is from RefSeq and is a predicted model, not a curated record. The transcript is spliced from 2 exons. Lineage: Eukaryota; Viridiplantae; Streptophyta; Magnoliopsida; Lamiales; Lamiaceae.